Molecule: ribosomal RNA, 208 nt
Filed under: uncultured bacterium
Lineage: Bacteria
Description: partial 16S ribosomal RNA
Rfam family: Bacterial small subunit ribosomal RNA
Source: RNAcentral
CUCGUAGGCGGCCAACUAAGUCAGACGUGAAAUCCCUCGGCUUAACCGGGGAACUGCGUCUGAUACUGAAUGGCUUGAGUUUGGGAGAGGGAUGCGGAAUUCCAGGUGUAGCGGUGAAAUGCGUAGAUAUCUGGAGGAACACCGGUGGCGAAGGCGGCAUCCUGGACCAACACUGACGCUGAGUGAGCGAAAGCCAGGGGAGCAAACG